This 1580-nucleotide long non-coding RNA is filed under the name Homo sapiens (human). RNAcentral describes it as "non-protein coding lnc-CDY2B-11:1". The record is from RNAcentral. Lineage: Eukaryota; Metazoa; Chordata; Mammalia; Primates; Hominidae.
AUGGCAUCCCAGGAGUUUGAGAUUGAAACUGUUGUUGACGAAAGACAAGACAAAAAUGGGAAGGCAGAGUAUUUCAUUCAGUGGAAAGGCUGUGACAAACAGGAUAACACUUGGGGAGUGGAGCAGCACUUCAUAAACUGUGAAAAAUGUAUUUAUGACUUUAACAGAUGACAGAUUAAAAAACAGAAAAAGAAGGACACGGACUGGAAACAAGCAGAACAUUGUCAAGCAAGGCCAUAAAAGGAACUUCCAGAUCUACCAACUCCAACUUUUUUAAGAACCUUCCUAAAACGCUAGUGACUUGCAAACACACAUCCAAAAACUGCCAGUUGUUUGCUACCAACCACAACGCUAGGAGAAACACAGCUUCACCUCUCUUCGACCCAAGGAAUAUGGAGCUAAGAAAUUAAACUAUCAAGACACUUGCACUUUUAACAGCAAGAACACAGUGGAUUUCAAUAACUCGGGAAACUGGAUCCUAUUUUGCUGGAUCAGCAGGACACCAUGGUGCUCAAGGUGGCAGCUGAGAACCCCUUCAGGGCUGUAUUAUGUCCUGGUGCAGAACAGACUGGAGGAGAAAACAGGUGCAAGAUACACCCACUAAUGUCUCAGGGGUCUGGCUUGGUUACUGCUUCCAUGGUUACAGGCCUAGCCAGCAAAGAAGGUACAUUGGUAUAAGCAAUUCCACGAACAGCCAACAGAACAAAAAACUUGCAUAUAUUUGUUCCAAGUGUGAGAGGGGGGCAAAGAAAGAUUAUUGAUGAUGAAAAAGACCAGCCUUUUGUCAAAAGCAUGUAUUUUACCAUAAGGCUAACAGAAAAUGCCAGUAGACUCGGAGACAUUUCGGUGAGGGAAAAUGAUGGCUUUACCCAGAAACUAUCAACAAGAUUGACAGAGAAUAACUCACUAAAUAUAGAAGUAAUGAAAAAAAUCAAGAAUGUUCUGCAUAGGGCUGCUGCAGAUGACAGGAAGUUUAUGCUGCCCACUCCAGCUGGUUGUGUCCUUUGCUGAGGUCUUGAUUUUGUGUGUAUUUAAGAAAUGACAGAAACAGAGCAAGCAUUGAAAUAGUGGAUACCAUAAAGAACACUGUGAAUAAUUUCAUUCAGUUUGAGAAGCCAAUUGUAUCAGCCAAUAGCCCAGCCAUUUGACUAGCUGCAUCCAUACUGCCUCUUUGUGAUUUGGUUAAAAGGCUUGGUUUUAAACCCCUUCUGUGACUUUUGGACCGACCCCAGGUGGCUUGUUUACCAUUAAAUUUCACAAGAUGAUGGAUGAAGCAUCGGCCAAGGUAAUGUUGAUUGGUGGGAGAAAGCUGAAAGCAUGGGAGGCAUGUGCCACAGACCUGGUCUCUCAGGUGUCUUGAACUGUAACUUUUCCCCCAAGUGGUUAUGAUACAAAUUAAGGGAUUUGCUUCAUAUAAUUCAGUUGUGCUAGAGAAAAAUAAUGCCCUUAUUUACUGUAACAUUAAGAUGAAGUUGAAAGAGGCCAAUGAGAGAGAGUGAUGUGCCAAAAAAAUCUGAAUCUGAGCACAAGGAAUAGAAUCUAUGUUCAAGUAUAUGCAAAGGAAAAUUGAUAAGUUUUAA